RNAcentral lists this ribosomal RNA (265 nucleotides) under uncultured bacterium. RNAcentral's name for it is "partial 16S ribosomal RNA". It matches the Rfam family "Bacterial small subunit ribosomal RNA", at positions 524 to 776 of the family's 1533-position model. The record is from RNAcentral.
AACAGAGGGGGCGAGCAUUAUCGGUGUUGACUGGGCGUAAAGGGUGUGUAGGCGGGAAGUAUAAUAAACGCUUGAUAGGAAUGUUUACGUAUUGACGUAAUCCGAAUCUUGCAAAAGGCUUUCUAUAGAGGUAUGCAAAAGUUAUUUGGAAAAGAGCAUGCGAGUUAGUCGCUCUUAAAAGACUGCUUGGUACCACCAAUGGCGAAGGCAAAAUUCUAGGCAUAACCUGACGGCUGAAACACGAAACAAGUGGGGCGCAAAAGGG